AUAAAAAACAAAGAAAAAAUAACAAAUCAUUCAUCUAGGCUUUUCACUCUACGGCUCACGCUUUGUCUCAUCUUCUUCUCGGUUUGCCUCUCUAGCUUCUUCUCUUCCAAUCCAACCACAAGAACCAGACAGCUGCUAAACAAAACCAUACCCACAAGAGAAGAAACAAAGUUACAAAUUUCAAUCCAACUCGACGGCACACCCACAACCUCAAAUCAGCGGCGCUUCUUCUCUUCCAAUCAAACUUGGCGGCGUCACCCACAAUCUUCAGGUAGUAUAGGGUGAAGGAAAUAUAUCAGGCUAUGCCCACACAUAUCCUACUACUAAUGGAAGCAAAUUGUCCGGGGAAGAGAGAUUUAGGAGUAAUGCCAAUGGUUUUUGGUCCACGAAUAAGCGGCAACAAAGCAAUGGUAUCAAUCAAGGUCACGGUGACAUUAAAGUGCAUGAUUCCCAGAUGAGUCCAAAUGAUUUGCGUUUGAAACUGAUAAACAAAAGAAAGAUGAAGUGAAUUUCAAGGGUUUUUGAAGAGAGAAGGAAGAUGGACCAAAGUCAAAAGUUGUCAAAAACUAUUCAGGCUGCAAGGCAUAACAUGCAGCAGCAAAGGUUUGAAUUAGAAGGACGUACUUUUUUGUGGCGAAUGCGAGACACAGAAAGACCUAGAUUCCCAAAUAGAAAUUUGAAAUCUUCUAGGGGAUUCUCACCACAAAGAAAUUUCAAUGAGCUGCACCAAGUACCAUCACUAAGGGCAGCUGAUAAUUCAAGAGCUAGAUGGUUUUUAAGCAAUGAUGGUGCGUCUAGGCCAACAGGACCUUUAACUGUCAAAUACUCAAAGGCCCUGAUACUUCAAAGCUAGUUAUGCAGCUUACACCAAUAGGUGGCAUUGGGCAGAAAAGUUUUCAUUCGGUGGAGGAAUCUCAUACUAUCACUAGCCUGUUGCAAUUGCUUGGUUUGGGGAAAUAUAACACUCUUUUCCGAGUUGAAGAGGUGGACAUGACUACAUUGAAGCAGAUGGGCGAUAAAGACCUCAAAGAUAUGGGGAUACCAAUGGGACUGAGAAAGAAGAUUCGUCUUGCUUUGUGGCCUUGUUCCAGACGAAAACAACCAUAGCUGCAAACAUUUAUUGGCUGCACUUUGGAGAGUAUUUGUUACAUCUGUAACUUAUAGCUCGAGUAAAAAUUGACAAGCAUGGGGAGUGUAAGUAUUUUUUAGGUGGAGAUAUUCGUGUGUUGCUUUUCAAGAACCUGAAAUCUAUGUCAUGGAGAAAAAAAUGAAACGGUUUAUAUAUGUAAUGGGAUAUGGACGAUUGCGCUAGUGAAACAUCUAACUAAUUGUUUAAUCAAGAUUUUUUUUUUUUUU
Molecule: long non-coding RNA, 1356 nt
Organism: Quercus lobata
Lineage: Eukaryota; Viridiplantae; Streptophyta; Magnoliopsida; Fagales; Fagaceae
Exons: 7
Source: RefSeq, a predicted model, not a curated record